RNAcentral lists this long non-coding RNA (250 nucleotides) under Nicotiana benthamiana. RNAcentral's name for it is "long non-coding RNA (NBEN_LNC019181)". Lineage: Eukaryota; Viridiplantae; Streptophyta; Magnoliopsida; Solanales; Solanaceae. The record is from RNAcentral.
UUUUUUUUUAAAAAAAUUCCAUUUUCGCACAUCCCACCUUCUUCCAUCCCCCAACCCACAAGUGAAGCAGCGAAAUUUUCUGGUUGAAGAAGCAGAUCGAAGAAAUGGGACUCCUCAGUACUUGAAGCAGCGAAAGGCCGAAGGCCCUAAUCGGAAAACGGUGAGCAUGUCGACAAUAUUUUUGCAACUAAAAAUCAACACAUUCUUCUUCUGGGUUUAAUCGGAAUGAGUUUUUUCAUUUCUUUCUGUG